GCCCGAAUGGUGGAAUGGUAGACACUACGGACUUAAAAUCCGUUGCUUUAUUAAGCGUGUGGGUUCGAAUCCCACUUCGGGCACCA
This 86-nucleotide transfer RNA is filed under the name candidate division WWE3 bacterium CG10_big_fil_rev_8_21_14_0_10_32_10. RNAcentral describes it as "tRNA-Leu". It matches the Rfam family "tRNA". From Rfam's summary of the family: Transfer RNA (tRNA) molecules are approximately 80 nucleotides in length. Their secondary structure includes four short double-helical elements and three loops (D, anti-codon, and T loops). Further hydrogen bonds mediate the characteristic L-shaped molecular structure. tRNAs have two regions of fundamental functional importance: the anti-codon, which is responsible for specific mRNA codon recognition, and the 3' end, to which the tRNAs corresponding amino acid is attached (by aminoacyl-tRNA synthetases). tRNAs cope with the degeneracy of the genetic code in two manners: having more than one tRNA (with a specific anti-codon) for a particular amino acid; and 'wobble' base-pairing, i.e. permitting non-standard base-pairing at the 3rd anti-codon position. Lineage: Bacteria; candidate division WWE3. The record is from RNAcentral.